CCCCUCACCCAUCCAGAGGGAGGCGCAGUUACACGCCUGGAGGGGAAGCAUAAGCAGUGUAAAGAUGCGGAUUGCGGUUGCACUAGGCGUGGUGGUGGCCUGUGCGUUGGCGGCAGCGGGGAGCGGCGGAAAUGCGACGCAG
Penaeus monodon (black tiger shrimp) is the source of this 142-nucleotide long non-coding RNA. RefSeq lists it as uncharacterized. The transcript has 2 exons. Lineage: Eukaryota; Metazoa; Arthropoda; Malacostraca; Decapoda; Penaeidae. The record is from RefSeq and is a predicted model, not a curated record.